RNAcentral lists this long non-coding RNA (1201 nucleotides) under Sus scrofa (pig). RNAcentral's name for it is "lncRNA (ENSSSCG00015071060.1)". The record is from RNAcentral. Lineage: Eukaryota; Metazoa; Chordata; Mammalia; Artiodactyla; Suidae.
AUGAUGUCAUGGCUGAAAGUCAAAUUGCUUAAUACGAGUUUCUCAUCUGCCUGGUCUCACCUCACCCCACUUCUCAGCUCCAGGCAAGACACAGGGCAUUCAGCUCUACAAACAACCUAUGCUCUUAUUUCUGGGUCUUUGCACACCGUCCCCUCUGAUGGAAAUAUCUCCCCUGAAGUCCUACCCGACCUAUGCCAGUAAGUCUUCCCUUCCUCCUUCCUCACCCAUAAGACUUUACUGGAAACAGAAGGUGUUCAGGCCCAAGGGAUAAGUCCUGGUCUAUUUCCCGGGCCCACUGUCAUUUGCUGUUUUCCUAAAGUUACAGCUAAAAUGGCCAUGUCACACAUUUUCUGGCCAAUGGCACCUUUGGGGGUUAAUUUUUCCUCCUGGAAGGCUUCUGUUUGGCAAUUGGCACGAGGUGUGGUGCUGCCACAACUUUCUCUGAGACUGUGCAACUCUAAGACGACAAGUCCUGGGAGAAUGGAGAGGAGGCAAAGUAAGAGCCUGGUUCCUGGGUGGUAUGGUUGACGCCACGAACAACACUUGAUACUGCCUGUCACCAGACUGCUUAUGUGAGAAAAUAGGCCCCCAUUUGUUUAUGCUAGUUAUUCCUUGCAGCUAAAAACAUUCCUAACAGAUCCAUCAGCCUCUGGGUUCUAACUUUUAAUAGGCCACCUUCUCCAGGAAAGCUCCUGGCAGCUAAGAACAGAUCAAAGGCCCCCUCCUCGUUGCAAUGGAUGCAUCGUGCCUUUAGUGAUCUUUGUACUGGUUCACCAGCCACGUGCCCCAGGAGGAUGAGGCAGGCAGCAGGGGCCCCAUGAGGUUCACCAAUUUAUUCCUAAACCAGUGAGGUUCACCAAUUUAUUCCUAAGCCAGUGUAUCUGUUGAGCACACAAGCAUACCCAUAGCUGACUACGGGCACAACCUCCUUGAAGGCAAAGACAGGGCCUGGCCCUCAUGAGCCUGCAGACAGUUGAACUGUGACCACAUGACCUCCAAGGAAGGGAUGGGUGUGUGUGAGGUGGGCGUCACUCUCCGCACUAGAACACAGCUCGGCUGCUUCCUGCACAGGAUGGCCUGCAUCACCUCAGAUGGGUAUCAUUCCGCUGGGUGACAGUUCCCUCUCUCUGCGAGAGCCCCACCCACCCCUGUGGUCUCAGUCAUCUGCGGUUUGGACGUGCCAAGCUGCACACAGGACAGU